This is a non-coding RNA of Paramuricea clavata, 615 nucleotides long. NCBI's taxonomy places the organism in Eukaryota, Metazoa, Cnidaria, Anthozoa, Malacalcyonacea, Plexauridae. The record is from the annotation of a GenBank genome assembly.
UCGCGUGACUCUGGAAAUGCCAGAAAUGGUUCUACAGGUCAAAGUGCACCCAUACGCGUGCGUUUGACGUCAUCCCGGCUAAAGGGAGCUCCUUAUUGGCCAAGUAUUACGUAAUACAAUUGCGUGCGAGUAAAACCCGAUACCUUGAAAAAUUCAAAAUAAAUAUUUCUACUCACCGUAUUCAUACGAAACUUUCUAUACGAAAGCGCUUGAAUACAAAGAGUAUUUUACACAUAUAUCCUUUCAGAAAAUGACACCAAAGUUUAGAAUCUAUUCAACUUUUUCUCUUUUUCUCGUUUGAAUGUUUGGCGAAGCGGUGAGUAUAAAUAUAUGAUUGUUUCGGUUUGUGUAAUGUUUUGACGGCACUUGACCCCCCGUUCGAAAGGUUAUAUUGUGAGGAUUUCAAUGGUGGCAUUUAUUUAAAAGGGGGGUAAAUACUCGCCGAGAUAUUUAUAUUAGAAAAAUUGAAUCGAAAUGUAAUACGAAACUACCUGAUAAGAAGGAGUUCAAGAACACAGCGAUGGAUUUACUGGGGGGAUGCGAGGGGGGCACCCGGCUAGCCCUGGCCAGAGGGGGUGCAGGCGGUGCUAUUUUUCAAGAUAAAGCAAACAAUUA